RNAcentral lists this long non-coding RNA (2734 nucleotides) under Homo sapiens (human). Its description in RNAcentral is "HSALNT0073801". Lineage: Eukaryota; Metazoa; Chordata; Mammalia; Primates; Hominidae. The record is from RNAcentral.
AGACAGGAUUCUUGUCUUGGGCAGGAGGGAGCAGAGCACAAGAUUUCCUCACACUACUUAGAACAGUGUGCAAAUUAAGACUUAGGAAUUGUUUAUUUCUGGAAUUUUUCAGUUUACAUUUUCCAUCCAAAGUUGACUGUGAGUAACUGGAAUCUCAAAGGUAAACCGCAGGCAAUUUAACUCUGACUCUACAUGUAUCUGAAACAAUCCACAAACGAAGCUCUGCAGUCACAGUCACCUUCCCUUGAGCAGGGCUGUCACUCAAACAUGCCCUUUGUGAGUUUCACUGCAUUCCCUGCAAACUGGGGUUUACCUGUUUACCCCUAUCCUGUAUGCUUCCUGAGAUGCCAUCUGGCAGGUCUCAGUGGGAAAACAGUAGUAUCUGUGAAAAAUAUUGUUAUACUUGAGACGGAAGACACUCCCUGUGCUCCAGGCUUUCUUCAAUGGAAGGCAGGGAUUUCAACCUGGGCAACAAGUCCACAGAACAUGAGAUUUCUGAAGGUGUGUGGGAUACAUCAUGGUUACAUAAAAAUCCUUUCACUAUAGUUCCUGCUUCCCUAUCUUCAAAAUGAUUCCCUGAAGACUUCCGCCAUGACGGUCUAAAGCCUAACCUCUGAACUGUGGAUGGAAAAUUGAACUCCUUGAUGUGAUCUCUGCACAUCAUGCAACCCUAAACCUAAAUAUAUUCUCUGUGUGGGAGCCCCAUUAUUUUUAGUCUAAUACAUUUUAAGUCAUCUUAAAAAAUUAUAUUUUGUUUUCUUUUAUAUGGUCGAUUUUACCUUGUUUUCUUUGACUAUUACUUGUUGUCUUGUAUGAGAUUCUACUGGUCUCAAGGCUUAAACCUCACAAUCUUCAGGGUCUGAUGGAUUUCUCUCUAUUUUCUAAGUUCCCUGGGAUAUGUUUGAUGAGUUUUUGUGGCAGAGAAGCAGAGAAAGGAGAAAGGUGAUGUCUAUACUACUUCCUUUUUCUCCCCAGCCACAAAUGCCAGAGUCUAUAAAGAGACCCUGAGAAGCAAGCUCUGUGCAGAGUCACUUCUAAGAAAUACCAGGAUAAAAUGUAGGUGAGAGACAUUUGUGUGAAAAAAGGGAUGAGAGAGAGGAGGAAGGAUUGAGAAAAUUUUCAAGGCAGAAAGGGACCUAUAUCUUCUAAUUUGGCAAAAUGGGAGAGGUAGGUAGGAGAUGGGAAUGCUCUCUUAUCUAUCUCGCCUUUUGGAUGGAGAUUAAUAACACAACCCAGGAGAAAGUGAUCCUUAGGAAGCCCAAAUGACUGAAAACAGCCCUCGAGUAUACCAAUUGGACAAGUUGGGGUGAAGGAGACCUAGUUAUUGUAAUACAUAGGUAGAGAUUGUGGUUGUGAGACUGUUGGGUGAUUAACUCAUAGAUGUUCCAAAGUCAUCUGUCAGCUAAAAUAGCUGUCAUUAGGAAUGCUUGAAAGGUUUCAAAGAAUACUUCAGUAGCAAUGAGCAUACCUAGGACCUAGAUCUGGGCUUCUAAAUCUCAUUCUCCACUAAAAGAAUCUGGGUCUCCUUGCACAAGUGGCUGAUUCCAGGUCCAGGGCGUGAAAAGUACAAAGUGAACUUGGAACAUUUCUGUGCCACAAAGCAAGAAAGUGAUCAAAGAAUAAAGGGGACAUGUUGCAAAGGACCCAGGAGCUUGCUUAAAGAGGCUUCCAUUACCUACAUUUGAGAUAAUCUGAGUAUCAUCAUGACUAUUGAUGAUAAUGGAAUAUAACCCAGAUAACAAAAUAAAAAUCUGUAAGUCCAUACUAAUGUAAGUAAAUAAAUGAGGAAAUAAAUGAUGGAGAAGUGAACUCUUUUCCUUAUAGUAGAAUCCCAAAGAAUAAAGAUAGAGAAAAUGAUGGACUUGGAAAAUCACCAUUUGGCAGUCCCUAUAGUAAUAAUUGUUUCAGGUAAAAAUAAACAGAUUCGAAAAUCAGAGUAUGAUGAAAACCAGGAUACUUAAUAUACAUUGUCUCAAAGUAUAUCUCUACAACAUAUUUAUUAAUUUCAAAGAAAAAACUUUCUUUACAUUGGAUAAACCUGAUAGAAAUCACCUCGACUAUAUGAUCAAAGUUCACAUCACCAAUAAUGGGACACAUAGACAUCAUGUGCUUCCUGAGAAGGACAUAACAACAUUUCUAUGAUAUUUCUGUCAAAAAUGCAUAAUCUGAAUCUAAUCAUGAAGGGGUAAUCAGACUAACCCAAAUCAAAGGUUUGUCUACACAAUAACUAGUUUGAAUUAUUCAAAUACUGAGAUCAUGAAAUAAAAGAAAGAAUGAACUGUUUCAGAUUAAAGAAGAACAAACAGACAUGACAACCAAAUGUAACUUGUGAUUCUGGAUUUAUCCCUGGACAAUGUAAAGCACAUUAGUGGGGCAACUGGCAAAAUCUGCAUAUGUAAUUUGUCUACAAAUUGUCCACAAAUUGGAUAAUAGUUUUGGUAUUGGUAAUGGUAAUGAUAUUAUAUCAGUGUUAAUUGUCUGAUUUUGGUAAUUGCACUGUGAUUAUUGAAGAGAAUAUCAUGAUUUUUAGAAACUACAACUGCAGUAUGUAAAGCUAAAGAAAUAUUCUGUCUGAAAUUUGCUCUCUGGGACCUAUAUCUUCUAAUUUGGUGAAAUAGGUAGGAGAGGUAUGUAGGAGGAAUUUGUUUUAGGAAACAAAUUGUAUAUCUUUGUAUAUGUGAAUGACAAAGAAAGUGUGAUAAAAUGAUAAUACUAGAGGAAUACUUGAGAUGCA